AUAUUUAAGUCUUCGUAGUAAAAUAUAAAUGUAAAAAUCUGUUCUUAUCAGUUUAAUAUCUGAUACGUCCCCUAUCUGGGGACCAUAUAUUAAAUGGAUUUUUCGAACAGGGAGAUGGAAAAAGAGCUUGCUCUGUCCACUCCACGCAUUGACCUGGUAUUGCAGUACCUCCAGGACCGGUGCACCCCUU
Bufo bufo (common toad) is the source of this 190-nucleotide small nuclear RNA. RefSeq annotates it as U2 spliceosomal RNA. The transcript has a single exon. Lineage: Eukaryota; Metazoa; Chordata; Amphibia; Anura; Bufonidae. The record is from RefSeq and is a predicted model, not a curated record.